UACGUAGGGGGCGAGCGUUGUCCGGAUUCAUUGGGCGUAAAGAGCUCGUAGGCGGUUCGGCAAGUCGGGUGUGAAAACUCCAGGCUCAACCUGGAGACGCACCCGAUACUGCUGUGACUCGAGUCCGGUAGGGGACCACGGAAUUCCUGGUGUAGCGGUGAAAUGCGCAGAUAUCAGGAGGAACACCGGUGGCGAAGGCGGUGGUCUGGGCCGGUACUGACGCUGGAGGAGCGAAAGCGUGGGGAGCGAACAGG
This 254-nucleotide ribosomal RNA is filed under the name uncultured bacterium. Its description in RNAcentral is "partial 16S ribosomal RNA". It matches the Rfam family "Bacterial small subunit ribosomal RNA", at positions 524 to 776 of the family's 1533-position model. The record is from RNAcentral.